Molecule: ribosomal RNA, 504 nt
Filed under: uncultured bacterium
Lineage: Bacteria
Description: partial 16S ribosomal RNA
Rfam family: Bacterial small subunit ribosomal RNA
Source: RNAcentral
AUUGAACGCUGGCGGCAGGCCUAACACAUGCAAGUCGAACGGUAGCACAGAGAGCUUGCUCUCGGGUGACGAGUGGCGGACGGGUGAGUAAUGUCUGGGAAACUGCCCGAUGGAGGGGGAUAACUACUGGAAACGGUAGCUAAUACCGCAUAACGUCGCAAGACCAAAGUGGGGGACCUUCGGGCCUCACACCAUCGGAUGUACCCAGAUGGGAUUAGCUAGUAGGUGGGGUAAUGGCUCACCUAGGCGACGAUCCCUAGCUGGUCUGAGAGGAUGACCAGCCACACUGGAACUGAGACACGGUCCAGACUCCUACGGGAGGCAGCAGUGGGGAAUAUUGCACAAUGGGCGCAAGCCUGAUGCAGCCAUGCCGCGUGUAUGAAGAAGGCCUUCGGGUUGUAAAGUGCUUUCAGCGGGGAGGAAGGCGGUGAAGUUAAUAACUUCACCGAUUGACGUUACCCGCAGAAGAAGCACCGGCUAACUCCGUGCCAGCCGCCGCCGUAA